UCUUUAAGAUAAGCUGGGUACAUUUCUCUCUGACUAUAGAAAGAUUCUCAACUCACUCAGACUUAUUUAGUGCAUACAUGAAUAGAAUUAAUGUCACAUCAUGGCAGUGGGAGGGGAAUGUAGUCGGGCGAAGAAGUAGCAGAGAGAGAAAGCGUCACCAUCCUCUCUUCUCCCAUUAGGUGACACAUUCCUGGAACCAGAAAAUCUGUUUACGAUUCCAUACUGCCUAAGCAGCGUUGUUAAUUGGUCUUAAAUAACUGAUGUAGGGCUUUUGUUUUAAUGUAUCUUAUAGCCUGUCCAAUAAGAACAAUACACCUAACCAUCUACACAUACUUUUGCCAGCCUGUCCUCAGGUCUGAUAUUGUUGGUGGUGAUAUGAGUGGAGCCAUUUGAUGAAUUUACUGCCAGGUCCACAAGUGGGUGGUCGUGGCUCUUUGCUAUUAGGAAAAACCACUGCUACUCUUUAACCAGCAAGAAUAUUUUGGACCAACACUCAAAUUUUUAUUUUAAUUCUAGUAAUUUUUAUAGAGAAGCUAUACCUGGUAUUUCAGCACUUGCCACUAUGUAUGUAAGAUUUUGGAACACUGACUGGACACCAAGAGUUCCCAGCCUAGCUGGUUGAGAAUUGUUAAAGUUUAUAAUUCAUUUGACCUUAUUCUGCAUACGAAAUAUGAUGCUCUAUUAAAAACUGUCUAGUUGGUGACCGAUAUGGAUUGCCUAUUCCUCACCUUCAUGAAAAUAUAAUUUGAAGCAAGUUUUGAAGAAACUGUAGACCUUAGACAUGGAUCAGCAUAUUCUCUCUAGCUUUAGUAUUGAUCAGAACAUGACCUUUGUGGCCUCGCUGACCUCACUGUAAGAGUAAGAGGCCUUUCUGGGCUCUCCACCCUAGAGUCAGGGGUGCUCUUGGUGUUAACAAAAUAAGCAUUUCCUGCCAGAGGCUUUCCUCUAGCUAUUUUUCUUUAUCAAAGCAAAGGGAUAAGCUGUCCUCUUCGCAGUCAUGCUUUUUAAUGGCCAAUUUUCUAUCUAUUUGGUCCUUCUUCCACUAAAGAAAAACAAACUAUAAUAAUGUCCCUUUAGUUAAAGCAAAACUUAACUUGAUCUAGACUGACCAUUCUUACCAGAGUUCUUUCCCUUCUUUCUCUCCCAUGAUCCUUUAGCACUUCUUAAGUUUCUAACAAUACCUGACAAAAUUGUUUCUUAUAUACUAUCUAUAAAUUUUCCUGACAGAAAAAUAAUUUUAAGUGGACUCAAAAUGCUCUUAAAUUUUUUUUACAGUGUAGUUUCCUUAUAGCUUGUCAUAUCUGUUUUUCCUUCCUACCCUCCCUUGUAUCAUAUUUGCCUUAGAAAUUCCUACUGAGGGCAGCCUGGGUGGCUCAGUGGUUUAGCACUGCCUUCAACCCAGAGCAUGAUCCUGGAGACCCAGGAUUGAGUCCCACAUCGGGUUCCCUGCAUGGAGCCUGCUUCUCCCUCUGCCUGUGUCUCUGCCUCUCUCUCUCUCUCCUCUCUAUAUUCUCGUGAAUAAACAAAUAAAAUCUAAAAAAAAAAAAAAAAAAAAAAGAAGAAAUUCCUACUGAACCUUCAAGAGUCUCCUUAGGCUGUAUAAUGUAAUAGUUAUGAGCUCAGAUUUAUCAUCUUCCUGUACUUACUAGCUGAGUGACUUUUGCAAAUUAUGUAGCUUCUCUAAGUCUCCAUUUACAUGUCUAUAAAAUGGGAAAAUAAUAACAUUUAUCCAAUGGGGACUAUUAUAAGGAUUAAGUGAGGUAGUUCUCCUAAACAGAUAUUAAGGACUCAAUAAAUAUUAACUCUUCUUACUCUUAGGGAACCUUCCUUAUAGGUAGAUUUUCCAUUGCUUCCUCCCCUCUGAAACUGAGCUCAUUGGUCCUCCUGGGCUACCACAUUGCUCUAUACUUCCUUUUGAUGUUUGGUCUUAUGUCUGUCUCUCCCACUAGACUUUGAGUUUACCCAAAGCAGAUUUUUGCUUUCAUCUUUGAUUCCACAGUAUCUUAUCACAUGCCCAAUAGGUAUCUGUUGAACUGAAUGCAAACAAGCUUCUCUUCCUAUCUUUCUAGCACAGUGAUAUUUUCCAGUGUGAGGUCAAUGGGAAUGCUUAUUUAAAUACAGAUUCCUUAUUCUUCACAGUAUCAAAAUUGAGGAUUACUGAGAAUCUUCAUCUUUAACAAGCUUCUCAGGGAUUCUUAAACUCAAUAAACCACUGACCUCCAUCUUUUCAGCAUGUCCAUGUUUGGCAACCUGUAUCUGUUUUAGACCUAUGCCCCAGAUUCUGCCUAUGGAUUUUAAUUUACAAUCCAAGUUCUACAAAGAUAUUUUCAAAUAUUUUAAAAUCCCCAAAGUUCCCUAAAACUGGGGAAAGGAGUAAAGGGGUAUAAAUUAGACCCAGAUAUAAGAAAAGUACUGUUAUGAACCUAACGCUGGAAGGAACAAUAAUUGUGAUUUUCAAAAGCUCAGAUUGUUGAUAUGCCCAGAAAGAAUGAGGGUCCCAACUCUACCAUAGUGAUAUACAUACCGCAUAAAGAAAUUUUUCAAGCCUUUUGCACUCCAGGUCAAAAGUGACACUAGACCUAUGUGGUUGAGUUUCCCUUUUCUUCUGUGUUCGAGAAUAAAGUAUUAAGAGGGAUGUUAAGGAAGUACUCAUAGCAUCUAGUAUCAUAAUAGAUAAAAUAUCAACUCAGGUCUUCAUCAGUAUCAUUAGGGAGUAUGAUGGUUAAUUUUAUGUUUCAACUUGAUGCAUAAAAUUAUACCCAGAUAAUUUGGUUAAACAUUAUUCUUGGUAUCUCUGUGAGGAUGUUUCUGUAUGAGAUGAAUAUUUCAAUUGAUAGACUAAGCAAAGCAGAUUGUCUUUACCAGUGUGGCCUUACCUAGUCUCUUGAAAGUCUGAAUAGAACACAAGGCUGACUGAGGAAAAGUUAGCUCUUUUCUGCCUGUCUUCAGCCUGGGACAAUGAUUUUCUAAAUUCAGAUUUGAACUGGAACUAUACCGUUGGCUCUCCUAGGUCUCUAGCUUACUGAUUUCUCAGCUUCCAUAAUUGUGUGAGCCAAUUCCUUAUAAUAAAUCUCUUCCUUUAGAAGAGUAGCCUGUAUACUGCUAGCUAGUAAACUGUACACACUAUAUCUGUAUCAUCUCCUAAAGGUUAUUUCUUUGGAGAACUCUAUAGUCAGGGAACAUGUUUUAGAGGCUAAAGAAACUAUUACUUUGAUGAAUCAAUCUAGUUAAUCAGUUCUUUAUUAAACAUCUGGUAGAUUCAAAGCAAUGAAAUGUACCAUGUGCUAUGAGGACUAUAAAGAUAAAGAAGUUUCCAGCCUUGGAGUAAGUUUUUAAACUUGCUCUUAAACUAUCAUAGAGCAUGGGAUUUUAAGAGCUGCGAGAGAGGUUUCAGUGGACGGGGAGGUCACUUUGGCCAUGCAGUUCGAGAAUGGCUUAUAAGAUAGGCAGCACUAACUCAGGAUCAGUUUUCUGUUAAUGUCACUCAGUUUUCCAACUACUGUCCUUGUCUCAUUUAUAUGGAAACAACCUUGAACUCCUCCGGUUGGUAUUGUAGGACAUGUUAAAAUCAUGAAGGCCCUGUUCUUAAUGAAGAUUUAAUAGUCAUUCAAUCAAAUAACAGCAUCAAAAUAAAUAGAGCAAAAACUAUCAAGGAGAAAUAGACCGAAACACAUUAGUACAAGUAGGCUUUAAUAACUUUCCCCCAGUCCAUUGACAAAUUAAGUAGACAAAUGAGUAAGUAAAGAUGUAGAAGACCUAGAAAACAUAAUUAACAAGGUAGACCCAAUAUAGCUACAUCAAUCUACAGUGUGCUGUUCUCUGAAAACAGAAAACACUUUCUUAACAAGUGCUGUGUCACAUUUACAAAAGUGGAACUAUAUUAGGUCCAAAAGAAGGAUUCCAAAAAAUUCUAAAACCACAGACUACAUUCACAGAAUCCAGUAACAUGAAAGAUUAGUUACUAAAGUAGAAAACAAAGAUAUUUCUACCACUUGUACACUGAAACCUCUUUCUUAAACUGCUCUUAGUUUAAGUUACUUAAGUUACUUGGCUAAAAGUAAAAUUAAACUGGAAUUGGAAGAUAUAUAAAAA
RNAcentral lists this long non-coding RNA (4092 nucleotides) under Canis lupus familiaris (dog). Its description in RNAcentral is "lncRNA (ENSCAFG00040024907.1)". The record is from RNAcentral. Lineage: Eukaryota; Metazoa; Chordata; Mammalia; Carnivora; Canidae.